RNAcentral lists this ribosomal RNA (744 nucleotides) under uncultured archaeon. Its description in RNAcentral is "bacterial SSU rRNA". It matches the Rfam family "Archaeal small subunit ribosomal RNA", at positions 90 to 863 of the family's 1478-position model. The record is from RNAcentral.
UCAUUUUACAAAAAAAAGGGGCCUUAGGGGGAGGAUACCCUCGGGAAACUCGAUUAAUAAUACUCCAUAGAUUUAGAAUGCUGGAAUGCUUUUAAAUUGAAAGACUAUCAGGUCGUAGUUAGGGUAAAUACCUGACUAGCCUACGACGGAUACGGGUUGUGAGAGCACUAGCCCGGAGAUGAUAUCUGAGACACGAUAUCAGGCCCUACGGGGCGCAACAGGCGCGAAAACUUCGCACUGUGCGAAAGCACAACGAGGGAAUCCCAAGUGCUGGCUCGUAAAAGUCAGCUGUUUCUUUGUCUAAAAAACAGAGAGAGUAAGAGCUGGGUAAGACGGGUGCCAGCCGCCGCGGUAAUACCUGCAGCUCAAGUGGUGGCCGCUAUUAUUGGGCCUAAAACGUCCGUAGCCGGUUCUAUAAAUGCCUGGGUAAAUCGUACGGCUUAACCGUACGAAUUCCGGGUAGACUGUUCAACUUGGGACCGGGAGAGGCUAGAGGUACUCCUGGGGUAGAGGUGAAAUUCUGUAAUCCUAGGGGGACCACCAGUGGCGAAGGCGUCUAGCUAGAACGGGUCUGACGGUGAGGGACGAAGCCCUGGGGAGCAAACGGGAUUAGAUACCCCGGUAGUCCUGGGUGUAAACGCUGCUCGCUUGAUGUUAGUCGGGCUCCGAGCCCAACUAGUGUCGGAGAGAAGUUGUUAAGCGAGCUGCCUGGGAAGUACGGUCGCAAGACUGAAAUUUAAAGGA